RNAcentral lists this ribosomal RNA (482 nucleotides) under uncultured bacterium. Its description in RNAcentral is "bacterial SSU rRNA". It matches the Rfam family "Bacterial small subunit ribosomal RNA", at positions 29 to 524 of the family's 1533-position model. The record is from RNAcentral.
AGCGAACGUUUGCGGCGGGCCUAACACAUGCAAGUCGAACGCACUAGCAAUAGUGAGUGGCGCACGGGUGCGUAACACGUGGGUAAUCAACCCUUCAGCUUGGGAUAACGACUUGAAAGGGUCGCUAAUACCGGAUACGGCGCGGGAGGCUUCGGCUUCUCACGAGAAAGCCUCGCAAGGGGCACUGAAGGACGAGCCUGCGGCCCAUCAGCUAGUUGGUGAGGUAAGAGCUCACCAAGGCGAAGACGGGUAGCUGGUCUGAGAGGAUGAUCAGCCACACUGGAACUGAGACACGGUCCAGACUCCUACGGGAGGCAGCAGUGGGGAAUAUUGCGCAAUGGGCGAAAGCCUGACGCAGCCACGCCGCGUGAGCGAUGAAGGCCUUCGGGUCGUAAAGCUCUGUCGGGAGGGACGAAGGGGAAACCCUGACGGUACCUCGCAAGAAAGCAACCGGCUAACUCUGUGCCAGCAGCCGCGGUAAU